AGAGAUCUGAUCUGCCAUUUUUCACGAAGAAUAGACCCCCCCACAACCCCCAACGUCUUCUUCUUCAGUAUUCACACCCAAAAAACCAAAAAAAAAACCCUAGGAAAUCCCUACUUGAAAAAUCAGGAGCUAACCUAGAGCUAGACCUGAAGCAGUGCCGCAGAACACACAUAGAAGAGACCUCGUCCCCCGCUCGGUGGGUCUUCUGCUAAAGAAGGAAGCAUCCAUUUCCAUGGUUGGCCGCUGAACCAAAAACGACCCCAUCUCCACCUUUACACCACCAUGAAAGACCCAUAAACACCCAUAUUUUUAGCCAUUUACAGCCAUAAACACGACCUCCCCCACCUGAAUUCUUUCUUCUUCGACAAAGAGGAACAAUCCAACUAAAUAAACCACAGAAGGUCAAUGGGUUGCUUCGAAUAUACAGGGCAAGAAAACUAUCAUGUCUGGUUCUGAGAAGUUUGAGGAAGGCAUAAAGAGUUUGAAAGUUGAUUGUGAUUAUGCGUCUGAAACCUUUUGCGUUUGAUGUUGUUCGUUUGCAAAUCCGAGGUGCCGAUUCGAGGUCCGUUGUUGAAUUUUGUCGCGGUUCGGCAAGUUUUGAGGUCUGGAUUGUAGUUCCGUCGAGGUUUUCAUUUUGGUCCAGUGAUUAAUUUCGUUUUUUUGUGUGUGAAGAUUCAGUCUGGAAAAUUGAGAAGAACAACAGAAUAUUGGUGAAAAUCUAUAUCUAUACUGUGCUAAGUUUUGCAUUUAUCAACAAGGUUGCCAUAGUUAGGAAAGAACAAUGAGCUACCAGUAAGGUAAGAUUUCCGCACUUCUUUUGUGGAUUGAUAUUACUGCAGUUUUUCUGACCAGUUGAGGGAAUUUGGCACAAGUUUUAGCUUCAGUUAACUCACCUGCAAUGCUUCAGUUUAUAUGCCAACAAUACACUACUGAAAUUCAGGUUUUGAGCAGUCUUUUGAAAGCAAAUUCUGCACUGUUCAGCUGCACAUUGUCUGCACUUUGUGGUUAUUCUGGUUGAAGCUGCUGCAUAUCUGUGCACAACCUACUAACUAUGAUCACUGUGAGAAGGGGCGUUAGAUGAUGUACAGAAUUAUAUUUUUGUGAACAUUUGUCACGUUAGUGAUCAUUAUUGCUAUAUUCCAUGUGUUAGAGUUGACUCGAUUUCAGCUUUUACACAGAAGCACAAGUUAGUCUUUUUGUCUC
Molecule: long non-coding RNA, 1203 nt
Organism: Nicotiana tabacum (common tobacco)
Lineage: Eukaryota; Viridiplantae; Streptophyta; Magnoliopsida; Solanales; Solanaceae
Source: RefSeq, a predicted model, not a curated record